GAUAUUUUAUUUGAUCGAUAAUUUUGGGCCACAAUCCCAAGCCCACAAAUUGAGCCCAAUUAACAAUUAUUUCCUAUAUAAGUUUUGGUUAGGUUAAAAAAUAGGGGUGGUGAAAUAAAAAUUAGGGUGGGUGUAUAAUUUUCAGAAUGAGUAUGGAUGUAUUUUUUCCUUUUUUGAGCCGCCAAGGUCUCACCACAGCCAUCCAAAAACCCACUUCGUCCUCUUUUCCGGCGAGACUCCAUCAGAACCAACCCACAACAACUCCAAACAAAUCCAAAACCACCAAAAGACCAUUGUCCUCCCUUACUACAUGCUACGGUUCACUGACUAGGGAAGCCAUUGACACCGCUCCGAAGAAACAACCAUUUUCCCUCUUCUGUUUAUUUCUCUUGCGGCUAGCUCUGGUGAGGAGCUUCAAGCUCCGAUUAACCGGAGCAAAUCCAGUCGCGACUCAGUCCCCUUCCCCUUCCCCUUGACGAGUUUGGUUUGUUUUGCAGGUGUAAGAUCUCCAUCUCCGACGUGACUCCAACACCGGUGAGCGACAAUCAGAUCUGGCUUGAAUUGUGACCUAUUCUGUCUUACCAUUGAAGAAAUAAAGCUCAAAUGAAGGUACUCGGAUGUGCUUCCCAUUGAAGCUAUUCAAAUAAGGUUCGAAUUAUACCCUUAUUCAUUAUUGUAUAUUAUUGACGAUAGGCAAAUUUAGGCCAAUUCAUAUAUUAUUGUUUUAUCAUAUUACUUGUGUA
Molecule: long non-coding RNA, 743 nt
Organism: Solanum tuberosum (potato)
Lineage: Eukaryota; Viridiplantae; Streptophyta; Magnoliopsida; Solanales; Solanaceae
Exons: 2
Source: RefSeq, a predicted model, not a curated record